Molecule: long non-coding RNA, 301 nt
Filed under: Anolis carolinensis (green anole)
Lineage: Eukaryota; Metazoa; Chordata; Lepidosauria; Squamata; Anolidae
Description: lncRNA (ENSACAG00000036510.1)
Source: RNAcentral
UGGCCUAGGCUGCUAAUGCCUUCUGCAACUGUAAAAUUUGGCUGCAGCCACGCAAUCCAAUACUGGUGAGAAAACACAGAGGUUUUGCCUGCCAUUGCAAUGAGCAAAAGAAGAAGAAGAUAAAUAACCAGGGCAUGAAGAUAAAUAAGACAUUGGAAAGAUCUCCCUCUCAAGCCAUGUAACAAAUUGGAAUGUUACAUGGAAACUAUAGAUGUUGUUGUCCAGCCAUUCAUUUGCCGUGACGCUGCAUACUAUGACCUGUGUUAGCUCCAAGCAAAAAACCUUCUGUCAUAAGGAAUUC